This 1187-nucleotide long non-coding RNA is filed under the name Accipiter nisus (Eurasian sparrowhawk). RNAcentral describes it as "lncRNA (ENSANIG00000008227.1)". Lineage: Eukaryota; Metazoa; Chordata; Aves; Accipitriformes; Accipitridae. The record is from RNAcentral.
AUGAUUGUUUGCAUUCACUUUAAAUGAAUCCAGCAGGAACUAACUUCAGAACUAACUUCACUUUUCAGGCAGCUUACUUAACCGCUUUUCCUUUCCAUGAUCUCUGAGGGGCACAGCAGAUUUUCUCCUCUGUGUCAAGCUCUCCCACUGACAGCACCACAGCUGUUGAUUGCAUCAGGAAGAUUUUCAGGAAGCAAAAUUUCCUCCGACACUUUUGGGUCUUCUACCACCAGGCCGAGUCUCCCAGCUAAUCAUAAUUUUUCUCUCUUGGGAGCUGCUUCUCUGAUUUUCCUUAAACAGGCAACAGGAUAAAAUUCCUGAGUUACACUCCCCCAGGGAGGUGUGCAGUCAGUACCAGCCGGGGGAACGAGGUUAAUCUAGAGACUCCUCCCGCAGAUGAAGCCUCCCUUUUCAUACACCACCCUCACUGAAUAUGAAUAAUUCACAGUGGGUUUCAUACCCUGGUAACACCAAUCCUCCUGUAGUUUGUGCUGCUGCAGUACAGCAGUGAUCACUUGUUUAAAAAAAAAAACAAAACAAACAAUCAGGACAGUAAACUUUUUCAGUUUAGUAGCACGAAACGAUUCUGGUAUUUAGGGAACUGCCUCUCAACGAGGAAGAUGAGCAAAAAGCAGGACUUAGCGAUACCUUCAUCUAUACAGGGCAACUCAAUGACUUCCAAAAAGCAGCAGGAAGGAAGGCACAGCUACAGCUGUGUGCGCUCACGGCAAAACCUUGAACUCUGGAGCUGCCGGUCCCCGCAGGCGCCGAGGGCUGCGCUGCCCGCUCGUACCCCCAAGAGCCCGGGUGGUAACACGAACGCCAAGCCGGGGACGGCGGCGGGGGGUGGUGGGGGUGCCCGAAACAGGGAGGCUGGCCGCCUCUCCUGCCCCAGCAGCGCCAAGGGGCCGCGACUCGAUCGGCUGGAAGCACACCCGCGGCGAGGCUGCUCGGCGGGGAGGCGGCGGCGGCGGCGGCGGCGGGAACCCGCUCUGCCUCACGCCGUGCCCGGGCAACUCUCCCCGCACCCCAGCCCGCCCGCCGCCGCCACUGACCUUGCCUCCCGUCGGGGAAGAGCGAUCCGCCGGCCGGCGGGGCCCUGCCCAGGCAGGGCGCUUGGAGGUGAAGGACGAGGAGCCAGAAGGAGACCUGUGCCGCCCGGCUCCGCGGGACACAUGACAUGCUAA